AGUGAACGCUGGCGGUAGGCCUAACACAUGCCAGUCGAACGGCAGCACAGUAAGAGCUUGCUCUUACGGGUGGCGAGUGGCGGACGGGUGAGGAAUACAUCGGAAUCUACUUUUUCGUGGGGGAUAACGUAGGGAAACUUACGCUAAUACCGCAUACGACCUACGGGCGAAAGCAGGGGAUCUUCGGACCUUGCGCGAUUGAAUGAGCCGAUGUCGGAUUAGCUAGUUGGCGGGGUAAAGGCCCACCAAGGCGACGAUCCGUAGCUGGUCUGAGAGGAUGAUCAGCCACACUGGAACUGAGACACGGUCCAGACUCCUACGGGAGGCAGCAGUGGGGAAUAUUGGAAAAUGGGCGCAAGCCUGAUCCAGCCAGACCGCGUGGGUGAAGAAGGCCUUCGGGUUGUAAAGCCCUUUUGUUGGGAAAGAAAAGCAGCAGGUUAAUACCCCGCUGUUCUGACGGUACCCAAAGAAUAAGCACCGGCGAACUGCGU
Molecule: ribosomal RNA, 491 nt
Filed under: uncultured bacterium
Lineage: Bacteria
Description: partial 16S ribosomal RNA
Rfam family: Bacterial small subunit ribosomal RNA
Source: RNAcentral